GUCCACGCCCUAAACGUUGGGCACUAGGUGUUGCGGGUAUUGACCCCUGCAGUGCCGAAGCUAACGCAUUAAGUGCCCCGCCUGGGGGAGUACGGUCGCAAGGCUAAAACUCAAAGGAAUUGACGGGGGCCCGCACAAGCGGUGGAGCAUGUGGUUCAAUUCGACGCAACGCGAAGAACCUUACCUGGGUUUGACAUCCCGAGAAUCCUGUAGAAAUACGGGAGUGCCUCUUUGAGGAGCUCGGUGACAGGUGCUGCAUGGCUGUCGU
Molecule: ribosomal RNA, 268 nt
Filed under: uncultured bacterium
Lineage: Bacteria
Description: partial 16S ribosomal RNA
Rfam family: Bacterial small subunit ribosomal RNA
Source: RNAcentral